This 478-nucleotide ribosomal RNA is filed under the name uncultured bacterium. RNAcentral describes it as "partial 16S ribosomal RNA". It matches the Rfam family "Bacterial small subunit ribosomal RNA", at positions 28 to 507 of the family's 1533-position model. The record is from RNAcentral.
GACGAACGCUGGCGGCGUGCUUAACACAUGCAAGUCGAACGGGAUUUAGUAAACAGACGCCUCGGUGGAAGAUUACUAAUGAGAGUGGCGAACGGGUGAGUAACGCGUGAGCAACCUGCCUAUGACAGUGGGAUAGCCUCGGGAAACCGGGAUUAAUACCGCAUAAAAUCGUAGAAACACAUGUUUUAACGGUCAAAGAUUUAUCGGUCAUAGAUGGGCUCGCGUCUGAUUAGCUAGUUGGUGAGAUAACAGCCCACCAAGGCGACGAUCAGUAGCCGGUCUGAGAGGAUGAACGGCCACAUUGGAACUGAGACACGGUCCAAACUCCUACGGGAGGCAGCAGUGGGGAAUAUUGCACAAUGGGGGAAACCCUGAUGCAGCGACGCCGCGUGAACGAAGAAGGUAUUCGUAUCGUAAAGUUCUGUCCUAUGGGAAGAUAAUGACAGUACCAUAGAAGAAAGCUCCGGCUAAAUACGUG